This 441-nucleotide ribosomal RNA is filed under the name uncultured bacterium. RNAcentral describes it as "partial 16S ribosomal RNA". It matches the Rfam family "Bacterial small subunit ribosomal RNA", at positions 338 to 795 of the family's 1533-position model. The record is from RNAcentral.
CCUACGGGAGACAGCAGUGGGGAAUAUUGCACAAUGGGGGAAACCCUGAUGCAGCAACGCCGCGUGAAGGAAGACGGUUUUCGGAUUGUAAACUUCUGUUCGUAGGGAAGAAGAAUGACGGUAGCUAAGGAGCAAGCAACGGCUAACUACGUGCCAGCAGCCGCGGGAAUACGGAGGUGGCAAGCGUUGUCCGGAAUUACGGGGUGUAAAGGGAGCGCAGGCGGGAAGCGCAGUCAGCUGUGAAAACUACGGGCUUAACUUGUAGACUGCAGUUGAAACUGGUUUUCUUGAGUGAAGUAGAGGUUGGCGGCAUUCCGAGUGUAGCGGUGAAAUGCGUAGAUCUUCGGAGGAACACCGGUGGCGAAGGCGGCCCACUGGGCUUUAACUGACGCUGAGGCUCGAAAGUGUGGGGAGCAAACAGGAUUAGAUACCCCUGUAGUC